CAGCAGCCGCGGUAAAACGUAGGGUGCAAGCGUUAAUCGGAAUUACUGGGCGUAAAGCGUGCGCAGGCGGUUAUAUAAGUCAGAUGUGAAAUCCCCGGGCUCAACCUGGGAACUGCAUUUGAGACUGUAUGGCUAGAGUGUGUCAGAGGGGGGUAGAAUUCCACGUGUAGCAGUGAAAUGCGUAGAUAUGUGGAGGAAUACCGAUGGCGAAGGCAGCCCCCUGGGAUAACACUGACGCUCAUGCACGAAAGCGUGGGGAGCAAACAGGAUUAGAUACCCCGGUAGUCCCUGUCUCUUAUAC
RNAcentral lists this ribosomal RNA (301 nucleotides) under uncultured bacterium. RNAcentral's name for it is "partial 16S ribosomal RNA". It matches the Rfam family "Bacterial small subunit ribosomal RNA", at positions 509 to 807 of the family's 1533-position model. The record is from RNAcentral.